CCUAGAUAAAGGGUUGCCAAGGGAACCUGGGA
This 32-nucleotide non-coding RNA is filed under the name Rattus norvegicus (Norway rat). Lineage: Eukaryota; Metazoa; Chordata; Mammalia; Rodentia; Muridae. The record is from RNAcentral.